RNAcentral lists this ribosomal RNA (462 nucleotides) under Nocardia otitidiscaviarum. Its description in RNAcentral is "bacterial SSU rRNA". It matches the Rfam family "Bacterial small subunit ribosomal RNA", at positions 28 to 507 of the family's 1533-position model. The record is from RNAcentral. Lineage: Bacteria; Bacillati; Actinomycetota; Actinomycetes; Mycobacteriales; Nocardiaceae.
GACGAACGCUGGCGGCGUGCUUAACACAUGCAAGUCGAGCGGUAAGGCCCUUCGGGGUACACGAGCGGCGAACGGGUGAGUAACACGUGGGUGAUCUGCCUCGCACUCUGGGAUAAGCCUGGGAAACUGGGUCUAAUACCGGAUAUGACCACGAAUCGCAUGGUUUGUGGUGGAAAGGUUUACUGGUGCGAGAUGGGCCCGCGGCCUAUCAGCUUGUUGGUGGGGUAACGGCCUACCAAGGCGACGACGGGUAGCCGGCCUGAGAGGGCGACCGGCCACACUGGGACUGAGACACGGCCCAGACUCCUACGGGAGGCAGCAGUGGGGAAUAUUGCACAAUGGGCGAAAGCCUGAUGCAGCGACGCCGCGUGAGGGAUGACGGCCUUCGGGUUGUAAACCUCUUUCGACAGGGACGAAGCGCAAGUGACGGUACCUGUAGAAGAAGCACCGGCCAACUACGUG